UUAAUUGAAGCCAAAAAGAGGCAUAUUACUGUUAAUAAUAUAAUUGAAGUUAAUUCCAAUUGAA
RNAcentral lists this transfer RNA (64 nucleotides) under Cylindraustralia sp. HS-2014. Its description in RNAcentral is "tRNA-Asn". The record is from RNAcentral. Lineage: Eukaryota; Metazoa; Arthropoda; Insecta; Orthoptera; Cylindrachetidae.